RNAcentral lists this ribosomal RNA (452 nucleotides) under uncultured bacterium. RNAcentral's name for it is "partial 16S ribosomal RNA". It matches the Rfam family "Bacterial small subunit ribosomal RNA", at positions 29 to 507 of the family's 1533-position model. The record is from RNAcentral.
AUGAACGCUGACAGAAUGCUUAACACAUGCAAGUCAACUUGAACUUCGGUUUGGGUGGCGGACGGGUGAGUAACGCGUAAAGAACUUGCCUCACAGAUAGGGACAACAUUUGGAAACGAAUGCUAAUACCUGAUAUUAUGAUUAUAUGGCAUCGUAUAAUUAUGAAAGCUAUAUGCGCUGUGAGAGAGCUUUGCGUCCCAUUAGCUAGUUGGAGAGGUAACGGCUCACCAAGGCGAUGAUGGGUAGCCGGCCUGAGAGGGUGAUCGGCCACAAGGGGACUGAGACACGGCCCUUACUCCUACGGGAGGCAGCAGUGGGGAAUAUUGGACAAUGGACCAAGAGUCUGAUCCAGCAAUUCUGUGUGCACGAUGAAGUUUUUCGGAAUGUAAAGUGCUUUCAGUUGGGAAGAAAAAAUGACGGUACCAACAGAAGAAGUGACGGCUAAAUACGUG